UGCCCAGCAACUCCUAUCCCUACCUCCACGCGGUACCGGCCGGAACUAUGAGCAACCUUAGGGAAGAUCGGGUAACCAACCCCGGUGGGAACUUUGGUCGUAGGCUGACAAGGAAGG
This is a non-coding RNA of Aedes albopictus (Asian tiger mosquito), 117 nucleotides long. Lineage: Eukaryota; Metazoa; Arthropoda; Insecta; Diptera; Culicidae. The record is from Rfam.